GAAUCUUGCGCAAUGGGCGAAAGCCCGACGCAGCCAUGCCGCGUGAAUGAUGAAGGUCUUAGGAUUGUAAAAUUCUUUCACCGGGGACGAUAAUGACGGUACCCGGAGAAGAAGCACCGGCUAACUGUGUGUCAGCAGCCGCGGUAAUCCGAAGGGGGCUAGCGUUGCUCGGAAUUAAUGGGCUUAAAGGGCGCGUAGGCGGAUCGUUAAGUCAGAGGUGAAAUCCCAGGGCUCAACCCUUGAACUGCCUUUGAUACUGGCGAUCUUGAGUAUGAGAGAGGUAUGUGGAACUCCGAGUGUAGAGGUGAAAUUCGUAGAUAUUCGGAAGAACACCAGUGGCGAAGGCGACAUACUGGCUCAUUACUGACGCUGAGGCGCGAAAGCGUGGGGAGCAAACA
This 398-nucleotide ribosomal RNA is filed under the name uncultured bacterium. RNAcentral describes it as "partial 16S ribosomal RNA". It matches the Rfam family "Bacterial small subunit ribosomal RNA", at positions 359 to 774 of the family's 1533-position model. The record is from RNAcentral.